This is a non-coding RNA of Phalacrocorax carbo (great cormorant), 6032 nucleotides long. The record is from RefSeq and is a predicted model, not a curated record. NCBI's taxonomy places the organism in Eukaryota, Metazoa, Chordata, Aves, Suliformes, Phalacrocoracidae.
UGCUGGGCGGGCGGCGGCUCGGUGGGGUGGGGGAGUGCAGUGCAGUGCAGUCUGGGCCCGGCACCGACGGGUGCCACGGCCGGCACUUUUUUUAAUACUGUGGGUCCGGCGGGGGCUUCUCCUUCCCUUUCGGCCGCCCCAGCCGUGCCGCGCGCCCCAGGCCACACAAGUGGCGGCACAGGCGGGAGGGCGCGGGGGCUGCCAGGAGUUAAGAUGGCGCUGGGGGAGACGCGUCGUGCGGGGAACGGUGUUUGAGGAGAAACCCGAAAUUCGGCGGCUGCGGCGCAAAGUCCCGCAGCGCUCGGCAGUACAAGCUGCUCCCCUGGUGGCUGCUCUGGAGCCGUGGGCGCCCGUCGCGGGGUGCCGCUGACAGAUCCCUUGGGGCACCUCGGAAGCAGGCCCGGGCCUCCGCUCCGGAGGAGAAGGAGGAAUUAUUAGUGAUGCUAAAACCAGGUUUAAGUACGGCGCUUUGGCUAGCCUGUGCUUGCUAAGGAAGUGGGCUGGGGGGGUCAACAUCAAACGUGUGUGUAAAGCCUGGUGCGCGUUUUGACUUUGCUUUUUACGUUCGCUGGUUUUGAUGAGGGAAUUAUGGUAAUUUGUGCUGUGGGUGAAUUACUGUUUAACCUCCCUGCGCGCUCGCUGCAUGCGAGCUGGGUUGCCAGAGCUGGGCAGCUCUCUCGCCGGGAACCGAGACCACCAGAGAGGUGUAGUUAACCUGGUACAACAUCUGCCUGUCGGUGGGCGUGCAGCUGGACAGCAAUUGAGCUGCUUGUGUCUGCAGAAACAUUUACGGGUGUCACAGCUUCCUUAAGUUUCCUUAAGUAAUUAUUUCUAACAGGUAUGACUCUGCUUCUAGGUUUUUUUCUAAUUGGAACUCCAUUGGAACAACUUUGUGAUGAACACACAGGCUAAAUUUAGCCCUGGCAUAAGCAGGCACAGAUGCACUAACUUCAGCGGAGUUAUUCCUGCUGUUGCUGGGAAAGAGGUUGGCUAGUGUGUGAAAAAUCAAGAUUACACGAUACAGAGUAGGCACUCGUGAGAACGGACGUAGUGCUGCUGUAGCACAUGUGCAUCCAUUUAUGUCAGAGCCAAGUGCAGUGGUUCUGAGGAAUUUAAAAUAUAAAUAAUGGUGAAAUAAGAUUCCCUAAAACUCAUGGUAAAGAACUAUUCUAGCCAUUUUACAGAUAGCAAAACUGAAGCAGAAAGAGGUUAAGUGGCACCUCCUGCAAAAGCAAGGGGAAAAGGUCCCAAUAGAACUGAAGCCUCCAGGUUUCAAACCCCAUACUGUGUAUCUCUUGUGAUUCUUCACCUGGUUUGUGUGGUCCUUCACAAUGCUCCACAGCACAGCUAAGAACAUAAAUGCGUUCUUGGGGGGGGCUGGUGGUGUGUUCAGCCCCAUGGGCUCUCUGAUGAGCACAGGAGUUAAUCUGAAUUUCCAGAGUUCAAGUCCGGUACCUCCUGCAGCUCCAACAGUGGCAGUAGCAGACUGCUUUUCAGUGACAGGAUGCCAGUCUGAUCCCUUUCCACAGUCCCCUUCCCUUGUAGGCUGGCCCCUGGCACCCCUCUUUUGUCAUAGCCAUGAGGCAGUGAAUAAUGGUCUAGAUGGGCCAUGGGAUUGACCAGGAAGGGUGUAUUUUUUAUGUACUACUUUGCAGUACGGCUUAUCUUUUAUUGUUUGAAAUGUCGGGACGUGAACUACACUACAUAAUGACAAAGUAUACUCCACUGUCCUUUUCUACCAAUUUUCACAAAAGUGAAACAUGUCAAAAGCCACAGCUCUAGAACUCUUUAGAUUUUCAACCAGGUGUCUCUUGCUGUGGGUUUGAGACUACUUUGCCAUCUUUCAUCCAGCUUUCUGUUUCCACCUUGUUUUAAACAUUGUUUACAAGCAGCUUUAAAAGGCACAUGAGUAUUGGAAAAAAUUCACUGGUUUUGUCACAGCAGGAUCCCAGUCUCUUCUCUGGAGAAAAUACUUGUUCUGCCUCAGUGUAUUAAUUCAAGAGCUAGACUGCUAGUUCAUAAAGCAGUGCUCAGCUGCUAUUAUUGGUGAAAUCCUAGUACAGUGCUUACUGAGAAAUGCUUAUUUUUUUAAGAGAUCAGCUUGAAGAUGCAAAACAGUGACAAGAUAACCUGUCCCUUCAUGAGUGAAAUAAAUAUAUUUUCUAUUGAAAUUCAACAACCCUAUUAAAAGUAAGUAAAACAGGCAUUGCUGGAUCAGGUUUUCUACUGCAAAUAGUUAAAUGCAGGAAGUAAGGGGAUUUUUUUAAUCUCAGUUUAUUUUGUGUUGAAUAACCUGACUGACACUAAAUAUUUGAACCCAGUAGUAGAGUAGUAUUUUUUAAGAGGUUCUUAAUGUUUAAGAUUUAUCAUCUAUAAAUAGACCCUCUUAAGUCAUCAUUAAAUUAUCUUUAAUUGGUAUGACUGGAACUGCCAAGGAGUAUUACUGUUUGAUAGUAGAGUAAAUAAUACAAGUGUGAAUUUAUAUACAGUCUGCAUGAUACUAAAAAUGCUAAGUGCAGACUGCAAUUUAGAAACUUCAAAUAACUUGUCAGAGGGAACUUAAGGAGAAAAGUUUGUGUCUGAGAUAGCGAAGUGAGAUAAGGAAACUGGAAUUUUAAUAUGUGAAACAGAACAAAAAUAAAUCAUUUUUUUAGCAAGUAAUAUGUGAAGUUACUGCAAAUGAAGCACACAUUCCCUAUAACGUGGUGCAUGUCUGGACUUCUUCCCCGAGGAUGAGAAAGGCACAAACAGCUCCAGAAGACGACUGUUCUAAAUCCCAUCUUGGACUGUGAACUCCUUGGGGAAGAGGAGAUGGAUAUUCACAUCUGGACAAGCUGAUAUGAAACAUUUUUGCUUUUAGAAGUUGCAGUUCAGUAGCGCUGGAUUUAUAACAGCAUCUCUGUAUGUGUCUGUUGGCACAGUCGAUCAGUAGUUCACAGCCACAGGGCUCCAUCUGAGCCAAGUAACAGGACAACAUCGAUGUCCGAGAGAGAAAUUCUGAAAGAAAGUCAAGAAGGGCAGGAAACUCCCGCAAUCAAAUGACUCUCUGGGCAGGGACUCUUCAUUUCACGAUGCAGAAUGUGACUUCAAGAGAAUUCUCCAAUAAACAACUUCCCCGAAUAUUCUGGGGAUCAGAUCAGUUCAGUUCCCUACAAAAUUCACAGCUGUACACCUUCUGUGAAAAAUAGCAGCAAAACAUUCUUAAGCACCCACGUAUCUGAAAAGCUUAUGUCUUAUGUUCAGAAGUGUCUUGGUUUUCAUUGACUUUGAAGUUCUUUUAUGAUUUUUGAGAGUAUUUUGACUGUCUCUGUCUCUAAUAUGUGGGAAUGAGCACGUGUUACAUGACCAUCCAGCUCUUCAUAGAUUACAAGGAAGUGCAUUGGUAAGUUAAAAAUGUUGGUAUAGAAAAAAAUAAAAAUCAGGUUUAGCAACUAUGACUAAUGGGAACUUUACCAAAAAUAAUAGAAAUAAAUUUUUAAAAACCCCACUUAAUUUAUUCAACUACGUACUAUUAGGCACUCCCUGUCGUCUGUGUUACUGAACCACCAUCCUGCUCCAAAAGCAGUUAUCAGCCCAGAAGUAUUUUCAUCUGAGGGUUUAAACUGCAACAACUGUAAGGACACAUGGAAGAUUCUUCUGUCAUUAUCUAAACAUUCAGUUCUAAUGUGAGUGCUUGACUGGGAAGGUCUGUGACUAGUGGAGAUGGACAAACAGUUGGAGGGGAGGUAUUUGACUGUUUAAUAUAUGUGCCAAACUGUCUUUCUAGGGUCACGGAGACUCGGCAGUUCCUGGGGGCUGUCAAACUGAUUACACGCAGCAAACCAGCUGGUGUGUCUCUGCCUGCUGCUUAGAGUAAGCACUGAUAUGCCAGUCAGACCUUACUAUCAAAUACAAGCUUCUGUGUGCUUGAGAUGUUGUGCAGCCUUCAACUCCCUGGUGUAUUCAGUAAUUUAAAAGCUUUCAUAUAUUCUACAAAAUUUUGUCUUGCACUCCAAGGGGGAAUCUUUGUUCCUAACACAGAGCCCAAGUCUGCAAGUUCUUUGUGGAGGACCGGGCUCCCAGCAUAGAUGUACAAUUGUUAAGCAGUUGGUUGCAUUUCAGCAGUGGUAAAAUGAUCCUUGUCUUAUAUUUCUCUACAACAAUUUCUGUAAAGGCUGUGAGAUUCUUUGGGAUGGAAGGCUAUAAAAACGUAAGUUGCUAUUAUUUAUAUUGACUUGCAUGAUUUUACAAAUGCCCAUUUUGCAUUGCAGAAGUACUUAGAAGGAAAUGUACUCUUCUUUCUUUCCACACUUCAUUACAUUGUAUUUAAGAGGAUUUAGCACAUUUUCAUAUUUCACUUGCUUAAUGGGGGUUCGUGUUUAAAAUUUAUAGCUGACUUGACAUUCCAGAAACUAAGCGUGAUUACCAAUUAUGUCUCUGUCUUGUAUUAACAUACCUAAGGGAAGAAAUACUGGGAGAUCUGAACUUUUACAUCAAGCAGCAAAUACAAGAUUAUCUUUAUGAAGCUGUUUAUUCAGUUCUUGAGAAAAACAUACAGUUACUGCUACACUCUAUGUAAACUGUAAGACCAUUAAUCAUGAUUAGCUGCUGCCAACCCCCCUCCCAUAUAUCCAAAUAUGCAUAAAGGAAAACUAGUACAUAUUUUCUUCAUUCAUCUGACAAAGUCAUUGCCAUCCUGAAGGCUGCAAAGAUCUAACUCCCUGAUUUGUCAACACCAGAUUACUGCGUGUGGCAUCUUUCACACUCAGUGCAUGAGUAUAGUUUUGCAACUUGAACCGUAAAACCUGAAGUUCAAACAAAAGCAGGAAUACUUUUCUUUGGAGUGAAGCAGGGAAAAGAGCUAUUUGUGAUAUAGGCAGCACAGCUAUUUGGGCAGGAUAGUUCAGAAAAAUAUGUUACUGCUCUAUUAUGUUUAAUGCCAUCAGAGCUGAGAAAGGUCUUACAAGAUGAGAGGAGGAGGACAUCAUCUUCUCUAAAUACAUUCACACCCGCCCUACAUCAUAGGAUUAUAACUGUGCAUUUUAACCCCUCAACAGUUAUUCAAGGACUAAAAUUGUCCUAGAGGUUAGUUCCAGAUAAUAAAAAACAUUAGAAAGAAGCAUUGGGAGGUAACUGAAUACUUAUAAAUUAAACCUCUGAGUCUUUAUUAUUUUUUCUUAGAGUAUCAGGGAUAUUAAACACAGUUGCAUAUUAGCUAUAAGCAUCACAUCUCAUUUCUGGAAAUCUUUUCUAACAGCAGGUAACGCAUGUAGCAACAAGGCUUUAUACCAUCUAGAUAUUAUUUUCCUUCCUUUGUAAUAAAACUACACAGGUUUUGGGGUACCUACACAGAGGAACAGCUUCAGACUGAGCUGAGAGUUGUGCUGCUACUUGCUUCUUCACAAAUAUUUGAGUCAUGUUCCUCCUGAGCGUACAUGUUCACAAUGCAGCAAGAACAAACAGUGAAUCAAUUCAGCUGCAAAAGCUGCUGGAGUUGCUCUGCUUUCAUCAUUCCUAGGGCUCAACAACUACUCUAACUCAGUGGCUUAGUUUUACAACUUCAUUUCUCUGUAAAGUGAGGAGAGUGCAGGGAGGGCAUCAUACUGUGGAUUGUUGUCAAAUUCUUUGAGCCAGGCCCCAAAAGCAUGUAAGCACCUGUUGUUUUGAGAUAAUUUACGAAAAGAACCCAGAAGUUGACUGCAGUUGAACUGUGCAAGUGAGGCUCUCUUUUGAAAAGCAAAAAAUACAGGCUGUUAAAGCAAUUGUACCUGGUCAGCUGGAGUGAAAGGAUCUAUAAUUGGAGAAGUAUUGAUGUUAACAUAAUUCUCCUAACAGGAAGAGAACUAAGGAAGGGUUAAGACAAAAGGUUUAUUAGGAAGCUGGGGACAGCACACCACCAGCACUAAACUGAAGAAUGCAAGGAAAAAAGGAAAGUAACUAUGGGAAAGAACACUACUUCCUCCAAAAAAAAAAAAAACUUUCUGCCUUCUCUUUUUGCAUGAAAGUAUAGGUUUGUACUCUGUGUCUCAAAAUUAAAUAUAUUUUAAAAGUUA